AACGAACGCUGGCGGCAUGCCUAACACAUGCAAGUCGAACGGGAUCCUAGCUUGCUAGGUGAGAGUGGCGGACGGGUGAGUAACACGUGGGAAUCUGCCUUUUGGUUCGGGGUAACCGCGGGAAACUGCGGCUAAUACCGAAUGCCCUCGUGAGAGGAAAGAUUUAUCGCCAGAAGAGGAGCCCGCGUCCGAUUAGGUAGUUGGUGGGGUAAAGGCCUACCAAGCCGACGAUCGGUAGCUGGUCUGAGAGGAUGAUCAGCCACACUGGGACUGAGAUACGGCCCAGACUCCUACGGGAGGCAGCAGUGGGGAAUUUUGGACAAUGGACGCAAGUCUGAUCCAGCAAUGCCGCGUGCAGGACGAAGGCCUUCGGUUGUAACUAGCUUUUGUACGGAGCGAAACGGCGUUCUUCUAAUACAGGGGCGUAAUGACGGUACCGUAAGAAUAAGACACCGGCUAACUACGUGCCAGCAGCCGCGGUAAU
RNAcentral lists this ribosomal RNA (484 nucleotides) under uncultured bacterium. RNAcentral's name for it is "bacterial SSU rRNA". It matches the Rfam family "Bacterial small subunit ribosomal RNA", at positions 29 to 524 of the family's 1533-position model. The record is from RNAcentral.